RNAcentral lists this ribosomal RNA (301 nucleotides) under uncultured bacterium. RNAcentral describes it as "partial 16S ribosomal RNA". It matches the Rfam family "Bacterial small subunit ribosomal RNA", at positions 510 to 808 of the family's 1533-position model. The record is from RNAcentral.
CGUCGCCGCGGUAAUACGGAGGGUGCAAGCGUUAAUCGGAAUUACUGGGCGUAAAGCGUGCGUAGGCGGCUUGGUAAGUUAGAGGUGAAAGCCCGGAGCUCAACUCCGGAGUUGCCUUUAAGACUGCCGAGCUAGUAGGUGAGAGAGGUAAGUGGAAUUCCGAGUGUAGAGGUGAAAUUCGUAGAUAUUCGGAAGAACACCAGUGGCGAAGGCGGCUUACUGGCUCAUUCUAGACGCUGAGGUGCGAAAGCGUGGGGAGCAAACAGGAUUAGAUACCCGCGUAGUCCCUGUCUCUUAUACC